RNAcentral lists this ribosomal RNA (473 nucleotides) under uncultured bacterium. RNAcentral's name for it is "partial 16S ribosomal RNA". It matches the Rfam family "Bacterial small subunit ribosomal RNA", at positions 28 to 507 of the family's 1533-position model. The record is from RNAcentral.
GAUCAACGCUGGCGGCGCACCUAAGACAUGCAAGUUGAACGGACUUAAUCGAAAUAUUUAUAUUUUGAAGCGGUUAGUGGCGGACUGGUGAGUAACGCGUAAGGAACCUGCCUAUUAGAGGGGAAUAACAGUGAGAAAUCAUUGCUAAUACCGCAUAUGCCAUAGAUAUCACAUGAUAACAGUGGGAAAGGAGCAAUCCGCUAAUAGAUGGCCUUGCGUCUGAUUAGAUAGUUGGUGGGGUAACGGCCUACCAAGUCGACGAUCAGUAGCCGGACUGAGAGGUUGAACGGCCACAUUGGGACUGAGAUACGGCCCAGACUCCUACGGGAGGCAGCAGUCGGGAAUAUUGCGCAAUGGAGGAAACUCUGACGCAGUGACGCCGCGUAUAGGAAGAAGGUUUUCGGAUUGUAAACUAUUGUCGUUAGGGAAGAGAAAGGACAGUACCUAAGGAGGAAGCUCCGGCUAACUACGUG